UAAAGGUGGCUAGGUAGACACUGACUGCCUGUGCGUCCAAGACUGGCAACAGAAAAGCGGAAGAAAUGAAUUUUCAUGCAGUGAGGAGAACAUCCCUGAGAACGGACUCAUGGUUGGAGACUUGCGUGGCUGCGAGCUAGACCGGUAUGGGGAGUGGUGGAGACAGCUGUCCACCUGCGACUUGCCGACUGGCCCUGCCUCUGUGGAGAGACUGGAUCUUGCUCAGCACCACCAUGGCUGAUCCUGUCUUCUGUGCCAUCAUCAAAUUUAUUCCCCAAAGGACGCCUGUGGAGGGCACGAGGCUCUCGGGAAGGUGGGUCCCAACAGGGGUUCCUAGCUCCAUGGGAUCAUGUUCUGGUGGAUCAGUGAUGCUCCAGUGCUUGUCUGGCCUCUGGCG
Long non-coding RNA from Ochotona curzoniae (black-lipped pika), 397 nucleotides. RefSeq lists it as uncharacterized. The record is from RefSeq and is a predicted model, not a curated record. The transcript is spliced from 3 exons. Lineage: Eukaryota; Metazoa; Chordata; Mammalia; Lagomorpha; Ochotonidae.